Molecule: long non-coding RNA, 1772 nt
Organism: Dromaius novaehollandiae (emu)
Lineage: Eukaryota; Metazoa; Chordata; Aves; Casuariiformes; Dromaiidae
Exons: 2
Source: RefSeq, a predicted model, not a curated record
AAAAAAAAAAAAAAAAAUCCUUGAGUUAGCCUUUCUUCAAUUUAAUAGCACUUAAUAGCAUCUGUACUUGCAAUAGUUUUAGCCAAAAUAUUACUCAGACAUUUAUUGUCCUCUCCUCUCUCAUUGUAUUCAACAGUAGCCUGAGUCAUAGCUAGAUACAGCAAGCAGAAGAGACUCUGAAGAAAACUCUGAAGUCUGCUCUUCUAUACUCAAGGAUGACACAAAAGCCAUGUUCCAAUAAAGCUGAUGUGCCUGAUUCAUUCAAUCCAGGAGUGAUAUUCAAUAAAUCAUCUGGUCUUUGGUCACUCUACCCAGAGACUGCAGCUAAUCUACAAUCUAAGGGGCUGGGAGUGUAGAAGACUCUAGUGCAAACUGGAAUAUUGAUCAGAUUAUACGGAGUUAAAAGUCUUGUUUGAAAGGCAUCUUCAGUGGCUAAAGACAAUUCACUAAAACAGAGGAUGGAGUGUGUCAAGGAAGUCUGAGCAAAAGCACCUCUUACUUGAAUUGAGACUUUCUAUAAAUUAUUUGACAAUUAUAUAGGAAAUAUAUCAAAUUAUAAUAGUAAAUAUUUAAAGACCAACACAGGAAUACCAGAAGAAAUAUCAUUCACAUGAUUCAGGGCAUUUUCCAGCCUCUAACUGAUGGAAUUUACAAGGAAAUUUUUAAACUCCUUUUUUUUUUUUUAAUCAUUCCUCUUAACAGAUGAUACAGCCUUUGUCAGAAGCAGAGGACUAAGCCAGACAUCUCACUGAUCUAUUCUACUUUCAUAGACUAGAGUUUAAGCACUGCGCAUACCUAACAUCCUGAAUAUUUCUCAGUGUCAUAAGGAUGAUAACUAAGACUGUCAGCUCCAUAGAAAUAGAGUGAACAAAGUGCAGAAUUCCUAGAAGAUUAGCUAUGGAAAGUCAUCACUGUAAAAAAUUUACAGUGGAUUAUAGUAGAUAUUUAUAAAUGGUAAAAUAAAAGAGCUAUAGCACAGCAAUAAGAAAAAGAGUAUCAUAAAAUUUAGUUUAAACAUAUGCUGAUACACAAACAAUACUAUGUCUGUAAUUGAAUAAAGAUUAUCUUCUUUAAUUAGGGCCUCACUAUAAAGGUAUUGUGAGCCAAAUCUGAAGUAUGAUAUAAGGAACUAGAGAGUAUAUGCCAUACUUUCCAAUUAUAACAGCAUACACCACAUUUCCAAGCAUAACAGAUUGCUGGAAGCCCCUUUGCUUCUACUUUUUAAAUCACACAAAUAAUAAUGCUUUCGCAGAAAUAUGUAUUAACCUACCCACUCUUCCCAUUUUUCCUUCCUUUCAGCCCUUUCCGCAGCUUCUUUACGCUCUUGCUCAGCUACUUCUUCAGCUUCUUUGACAAGGUGCUUCUCAGCUGCUUUGCGUUCUAAUUUUUCCUUUUCUUCAUCUGUCAAACCAUAAUUCCGAGGUUCCCCAAUUUCUUUGAUGAUCUCUUUUACAAUAAUUCUAUUCUCAGGAUCUUCAAAUUUGGCUACAUCUUUCAAACAAUACAAGAGACAAAUUUUCAGGGCUUUUGUCAAUUAUCAGUGAUCAUUAGUGAAAAACUGCAAGACCUAACAAUAUAUGGUGCCCACAUUGUUUGAAUUUUUCAUUAUAAGGUGCUGUUUUCAGGUAUCUAUAACUGACAAUUUUUUGAUAUAUAAAAUUAAAUUUUCUAUGUCUGAGUUUCUUUAAUAGUUUCAGCUAACAUAAUUUGUCUUUUCAAGAUGAUGGUACAGAGAAAUGUAUUUAAAUGAUUUUUAAAACUGUUUUGCUCAA